AUUCUCUGGUUUCUCUUCAGAAUGUAUAAAUCUUUUGCCUUUACAUCUAAUCUUUAGUAAAUGGAGAGAAAGAACUCUGAGUUUUUAACAAAUUUUUUGAGGCCCUGCUCUAGCUGGGCU
This is a small nuclear RNA of Choloepus didactylus (southern two-toed sloth), 120 nucleotides long. RefSeq annotates it as U5 spliceosomal RNA. NCBI's taxonomy places the organism in Eukaryota, Metazoa, Chordata, Mammalia, Pilosa, Megalonychidae. The transcript has a single exon. The record is from RefSeq and is a predicted model, not a curated record.